This 819-nucleotide ribosomal RNA is filed under the name uncultured marine microorganism. Its description in RNAcentral is "bacterial SSU rRNA". It matches the Rfam family "Bacterial small subunit ribosomal RNA", at positions 9 to 873 of the family's 1533-position model. The record is from RNAcentral.
AGAGUUUGAUCCUGGCUCAGAAUGAACGCCGGCGGCGCGCUUAACACAUGCAAGUCGAACGAGAUCUUCGGAUCUAGUGGCAGACGGGUGAGUAACGCGUGGGAACCUGCCCAGUAGUAGAGAAUAACUUGGGGAAACUUAAGCUAAUACUUUAUACGUCCUUCGGGAGAAAGCUUUAUGCGCUAUUGGAUGGGCCCGCGUUAGAUUAGUUUGUUGGUGAGGUAACGGCUCACCAAGGCGGCGAUCUAUAGCUGGUCUGAGAGGAUGAUCAGCCACACUGGGACUGAGACACGGCCCAGACUCCUACGGGAGGCAGCAGUGGGGAAUAUUGGACAAUGGGGGCAACCCUGAUCCAGCGAUGCCGCGUGAGUGAUGAAGGCCCUAGGGUUGUAAAACUCUUUCGUCAGGGAAGAUAAUGACGGUACCUGAAGAAGAAGAUCCGGCUAACUCCGUGCCAGCAGCCGCGGUAAUACGGAGGGGUCUAGCGUUAUUCGGAAUUACUGGGCGUAAAGCGAGCGUAGGCGGAUUUGUAAGUUGGAGGUGAAAUCCCAGAGCUUAACUCUGGAACUGCCUUCAAAACUACAUUUCUUGAGUUUGGUAGAGGAGAGUGGAAUUCCUAGUGUAGAGGUGAAAUUCGUAGAUAUUAGGAGGAACACCAGUGGCGAAGGCGACUCUCUGGGCCAAUACUGACGCUGAGGUUCGAAAGCAUGGGUAGCGAACAGGAUUAGAUACCCUGGUAGUCCAUGCAGUAAACGAUGAGUGCUAGAUGUUGGGAAUUUAAAUUUCCNGUAUCGCAGUUAACGCGUUAAGCACUCCGCC